GAUGAACGCUAGCGGCAGGCCUAACACAUGCAAGUCGAGGGGUAGCAGGAUUAAGCUUGCUUAAUUGCUGACGACCGGCGCACGGGUGCGUAACGCGUAUGCAACCUACCUUAUACUGGGGUAUAGCCCGGAGAAAUUCGGAUUAAUCCCCCAUAGUACUAAUAAAUCGCAUGGUUUAUUAGUUAAAGCAUUGCGGUAUAAGAUGGGCAUGCGUCCUAUUAGCUAGAUGGUGAGGUAACGGCUCACCAUGGCUACGAUGGGUAGGGGGCCUGAGAGGGUGGUCCCCCACACUGGUACUGAGACACGGACCAGACUCCUACGGGAGGCAGCAGUGAGGAAUAUUGGUCAAUGGGCGCAAGCCUGAACCAGCCAUGCCGCGUGCAGGAAGAAUGCCCUAUGGGUUGUAAACUGCUUUUAUUUGGGAAUAAACCUCUUUACGUGUAGAGAGCUGAAGGUACCAAAUGAAUAAGCACCGGCUAACUCCGUGCCAGCAGCCGCCGUAA
Molecule: ribosomal RNA, 503 nt
Filed under: uncultured bacterium
Lineage: Bacteria
Description: partial 16S ribosomal RNA
Rfam family: Bacterial small subunit ribosomal RNA
Source: RNAcentral